RNAcentral lists this long non-coding RNA (735 nucleotides) under Neogobius melanostomus (round goby). Its description in RNAcentral is "lncRNA (ENSNMLG00000007987.1)". The record is from RNAcentral. Lineage: Eukaryota; Metazoa; Chordata; Actinopteri; Gobiiformes; Gobiidae.
UUGCCGGAAGUCCCGCCGUCAGCUUCUGUAAGUUUGGUGACUUGUUUUUAAUCGUGUUCUGUUCAUUUACCUGCUUCCUAAACAUAGGUGAACUCUUCUAAUAUCUACUAUAGGCUCUAGAGACUUGCUGUAAGCUGUACGUGAGUAUAUUUUUGCUGGGAUACAUUAUGAGCUACUAAGUUUUUGUUAGACAGGAUUUUAUUUAGUAUUUUUAAUAAUGCAAGUAAUUAUUCAGUGCUGAACCUCUAAAUGAGGAUCUAAACUGAUUAAAUCAGGACUAAAGCAUGUCUAACAAAGAUUAAACCAAGAACCUGAAUACAUCUUUACCAAGGCCCAAAACCAUUGGAUACAGGUCAGGUCAUUCCUGUAUAGUAGGAGCAUGGAUCUAAUAUAGAGUAGGAGUAGAACUUUUGUCAUCUGCUGUAAACAUAUUAUUAGUAAUGAAUCAUUCAUUCCUUUCUUUGUGCAACGACAGACAGAUGUCUUUUCUGAAUGGAGAAGAUGGAGGAGAUUGAUUUGGAGUUUGUUCACUACCUAGAUUAUCCACUCUACUGCAUCAGAUGACUCCAGCAUUACUGAUCUGCACCCCGGAAUAUCCUGGAAUAAUCACUUGUGCAGUUUUGAUGACAUCUCUUGAAGUGUUAUGACCAUCAAUUUUCACAGAUCAAGACAUUUACAGAAGAUCGGGGACUGACAUCCUGCCUGUGCGUUCUCAGAAUAUGAAACGUAUGUUAU